GUCAUUGGUGGUUAAGAGUGACAGUGGGGAACAAUUAGUGUUUUCAUAAAACUUAGACUUAGGGCUGAGGAGAGAGCAGGAAGCAAUAUAUCUGUGGCUUCCUCUGAACUUGGGCCUCUGAAAAGUUUAUACUGUUAAGCAGACAGAAAGAACAAAAAAAUGGAAGGAACUGCUUGCUCCAGCUAACAAAGCGCACCCAGGAAUUAAAUCCAGGCUGCAUUAUCCCCCCACCCUACAUGCAGCCUGAGGAUGCUGAUUUGGCCAGUACCAGGCUGCUCUGUAUUGGACAUCUCAUCAUUGC
Non-coding RNA from Lonchura striata (white-rumped munia), 301 nucleotides. The record is from RefSeq and is a predicted model, not a curated record. NCBI's taxonomy places the organism in Eukaryota, Metazoa, Chordata, Aves, Passeriformes, Estrildidae.